AUGAACGCUGGCGGCGUGCUUCACACAUGCAAGUCGCACGGUGAAGGCGGAGCUUGCUCUGCUGGAUCAGUGGCGAACGGGUGAGUAACACGUGAGCAAUCUGCCCCUGACUCUGGGAUAAGCGCUGGAAACGGCGUCUAAUACUGGAUACGAGCUGCGAAGGCAUCUUCAGCAGCUGGAAAGAACUUCGGUCAGGGAUGAGCUCGCGGCCUAUCAGCUUGUUGGUGAGGUAACGGCUCACCAAGGCGUCGACGGGUAGCCGGCCUGAGAGGGUGACCGGCCACACUGGGACUGAGACACGGCCCAGACUCCUACGGGAGGCAGCAGUGGGGAAUAUUGCACAAUGGGCGUAAGCCUGAUGCAGCAACGCCGCGUGAGGGACGACGGCCUUCGGGUUGUAAACCUCUUUUAGCAGGGAAGAAGCGAAAGUGACGGUACCUGCAGAAAAAGCGCCGGCUAACUACGUG
RNAcentral lists this ribosomal RNA (467 nucleotides) under uncultured bacterium. RNAcentral's name for it is "partial 16S ribosomal RNA". It matches the Rfam family "Bacterial small subunit ribosomal RNA", at positions 29 to 507 of the family's 1533-position model. The record is from RNAcentral.